Molecule: ribosomal RNA, 301 nt
Filed under: uncultured bacterium
Lineage: Bacteria
Description: partial 16S ribosomal RNA
Rfam family: Bacterial small subunit ribosomal RNA
Source: RNAcentral
CAGCCGCCGCGGGAAUACGUAGGUGGCAAGCGUUGUCCGGAAUUAUUGGGCGUAAAGGGCUCGCAGGCGGUUUCUUAAGUCUGAUGUGAAAGCCCCCGGCUCAACCGGGGAGGGUCAUUGGAAACUGGGGAACUUGAGUGCAGAAGAGGAGAGUGGAAUUCCACGUGUAGCGGUGAAAUGCGUAGAGAUGUGGAGGAACACCAGUGGCGAAGGCGACUCUCUGGUCUGUAACUGACGCUGAGGAGCGAAAGCGUGGGGAGCAAACAGGAUUAGAUACCCCGGUAGUCCCUGUCUCUUAUAC